This 485-nucleotide ribosomal RNA is filed under the name Penicillium citrinum. RNAcentral's name for it is "eukaryotic LSU rRNA". The stretch from base 115 to 268 matches the Rfam family "5.8S ribosomal RNA". The record is from RNAcentral. Lineage: Eukaryota; Fungi; Ascomycota; Eurotiomycetes; Eurotiales; Aspergillaceae.
CCUCCCACCCGUGUUGCCCGAACCUAUGUUGCCUCGGCGGGCCCCGCGCCCGCCGACGGCCCCCCUGAACGCUGUCUGAAGUUGCAGUCUGAGACCUAUAACGAAAUUAGUUAAAACUUUCAACAACGGAUCUCUUGGUUCCGGCAUCGAUGAAGAACGCAGCGAAAUGCGAUAACUAAUGUGAAUUGCAGAAUUCAGUGAAUCAUCGAGUCUUUGAACGCACAUUGCGCCCUCUGGUAUUCCGGAGGGCAUGCCUGUCCGAGCGUCAUUGCUGCCCUCAAGCCCGGCUUGUGUGUUGGGCCCCGUCCCCCCCGCCGGGGGGACGGGCCCGAAAGGCAGCGGCGGCACCGCGUCCGGUCCUCGAGCGUAUGGGGCUUCGUCACCCGCUCUAGUAGGCCCGGCCGGCGCCAGCCGACCCCCAACCUUUAAUUAUCUCAGGUUGACCUCGGAUCAGGUAGGGAUACCCGCUGAACUUAAGCAUAUCA